GACGAACGCUGGCGGCGUGCUUAACACAUGCAAGUCGAACGGAGUUACGUAUGAAGUAUUUCGGUACGGACUACAUAACUUAGUGGCGAACGGGUGAGUAACACGUGGGCAACCUGCCCUUAACCGGGGGAUAACAUUGUGAAAACAGUGCUAAUACCGCAUAACAGAGUAUCGGGCAUCCGAUAUUUUUAAAAGGAGCAAUCCGGUUUAGGAUGGGCCCGCGUCCAAUUAGCUAGUUGGUGAGGUAACGGCUCACCAAGGCUACGAUUGGUAGCCGAACUGAGAGGUUGAUCGGCCACAUUGGGACUGAGACACGGCCCAGACUCCUACGGGAGGCAGCAGUGGGGAAUAUUGGGCAAUGGGCGAAAGCCUGACCCAGCGACGCCGCGUGAAGGAUGAAGGUCUUCGGGAUUGUAAACUUCUUUGAUCAGGGAAGAAAGAAAUGACGGUACCUGAAGAACAAGCCAGGCUAACUACGUGCCAGCAGCCGCGGUAUCAUACUCGUA
This 506-nucleotide ribosomal RNA is filed under the name uncultured bacterium. Its description in RNAcentral is "bacterial SSU rRNA". It matches the Rfam family "Bacterial small subunit ribosomal RNA", at positions 28 to 536 of the family's 1533-position model. The record is from RNAcentral.